Long non-coding RNA from Cavia porcellus (domestic guinea pig), 470 nucleotides. RefSeq lists it as uncharacterized. The record is from RefSeq and is a predicted model, not a curated record. Lineage: Eukaryota; Metazoa; Chordata; Mammalia; Rodentia; Caviidae. The transcript has 2 exons.
CGGGGCCUGUGGAAGGCGGUGGUCCCGGAGUCUGCGGAUGGGGUGUCGAGGGGAGCCGGCAGCCGCGGGCUUGCACCGGCCGAGCGGGCAGCGUUUCCCGGGGAAUUAAGCGUAGCGCCUGCCGUAGUCCGGGUGGGCAUUCAGAGGAGUGAGAUCGCUGGUCACCUAUGUCCUCCCAGCAGCCUGGCGAGGCGAUCGAUCCCUUGGAGAGGAUGUGUGCUGCCUCUGCUCCUACAGGCUCAGUGAAAGCGCCUGGCCGGGCGGGCGUGGCCAACACUACUCCUGCUCCAACUCGCUGGCCGGGAGAGUGACAUCCAAGGGGACUGUGCCCUUGCCCCCAGGCUGUCAGCAUCCUAUCCAGGGGGAGAUUCUGUCCCCUGCACUUGUGCCCGGAGACCCAGCUUAAGAAAGUCAGCGCAGCGAUAAAAGAACAAUCUCCGUUUAUUAAACAUGAUUUUUGUUUCACCACA